RNAcentral lists this RNase P RNA (261 nucleotides) under Francisella tularensis subsp. holarctica. RNAcentral's name for it is "partial RNase P RNA component class A". It matches the Rfam family "Bacterial RNase P class A", at positions 88 to 367 of the family's 367-position model. From Rfam's summary of the family: Ribonuclease P (RNase P) is a ubiquitous endoribonuclease, found in archaea, bacteria and eukarya as well as chloroplasts and mitochondria. Its best characterised activity is the generation of mature 5'-ends of tRNAs by cleaving the 5'-leader elements of precursor-tRNAs. The record is from RNAcentral. Lineage: Bacteria; Pseudomonadati; Pseudomonadota; Gammaproteobacteria; Thiotrichales; Francisellaceae.
GGAGGCGUGAGCCUAAGGAAAGUGCAACAGAAAAUAUCCCGCCUUUUUUUUUAAGGUAAGGGUGAAUAGGUGUGGUAAGAGCGCACCGCAUUGGUGGUAACACUCAAUGGCAUUGUAAACACCAUCUAAAGCAAGACCAAAUAGUGCCAAUAUGAUGUUGCUCGCAUCGUGGCAGGGUAGGUCGCUUGAGCUUAUUGGUGACAAUAGGACUAGAUAAAUGCCUGUCUAUUACAGAACCCGGCUUAUAGACUGGCUUUGUAU